GAAAUGCAAUAAGUAAUGUGAAUUGCAGAAUUCAGUGAAUCAUCGAAUCUUUGAACGCACAUUGCGCCCGCCAGUAUUCUGGCGGGCAUGCCUGUUCGAGCGUCAUUUCAACCAUCAAGCCCCGGGCUUGUGUUGGGGACCUGCGGCUGCCGCAGGCCCUGAAAACCAGUGGCGGGCUCGCUGUCACACCGAGCGUAGUAGAUUCUCAUCUCGCUCAGGGCGUGCUGCGGGUUCCGGCCGUAAAACAGCCUUAUUUUACCCAAGGUUGACCUCGGAUCAGGUAGGAAGACCCGCUGAACUUAAGC
Molecule: unclassified non-coding RNA, 305 nt
Filed under: plant metagenome
Description: partial contains 5.8S ribosomal RNA, internal transcribed spacer 2, and large subunit ribosomal RNA
Rfam family: 5.8S ribosomal RNA (bases 1-105)
Source: RNAcentral